RNAcentral lists this ribosomal RNA (492 nucleotides) under uncultured bacterium. RNAcentral's name for it is "bacterial SSU rRNA". It matches the Rfam family "Bacterial small subunit ribosomal RNA", at positions 28 to 507 of the family's 1533-position model. The record is from RNAcentral.
GAUGAACGCUAGCUACAGGCUUAACACAUGCAAGUCGAGGGGAAACGACAGAGGAAGCUUGCUUCCUUUGGGCGUCGACCGGCGCACGGGUGAGUAACGCGUAUCCAACCUUCCCGCAAGUAAGGGAUAACCCGUAGAAAUGCGGCCUAAUACCUUAUGUUUUCCUUAGAGGGCAUCUGAUGAGGAACAAAGAUCCGUCGCUUGCGGAUGGGGAUGCGUCUGAUUAGUUAGUCGGCGGGGUAACGGCCCACCGAGACGACGAUCAGUAGGGGUUCUGAGAGGAAAGUCCCCCACAUUGGAACUGAGACACGGUCCAAACUCCUACGGGAGGCAGCAGUGAGGAAUAUUGGUCAAUGGGCGGAAGCCUGAACCAGCCAAGUAGCGUGCAGGACGACGGCCCUAUGGGUUGUAAACUGCUUUUAUAUGGGGAUAAAGUGAGCUACGUGUAGUUUAUUGCAGGUACCAUAUGAAUAAGGACCGGCUAAUUCCGUG